Molecule: non-coding RNA, 23 nt
Filed under: Arabidopsis thaliana (thale cress)
Lineage: Eukaryota; Viridiplantae; Streptophyta; Magnoliopsida; Brassicales; Brassicaceae
Source: RNAcentral
AAGUGCGUUCGGCUCAUAUGGUA